GCAGGCAACGACCCGAAGGGCGAAGCGCGCAGCGCUGAGUAAUCUCUCCCCCACCACCA
RNAcentral lists this small RNA (59 nucleotides) under Salmonella enterica subsp. enterica serovar Miami. RNAcentral describes it as "partial RtT sRNA". It matches the Rfam family "RtT RNA", at positions 73 to 130 of the family's 130-position model. Rfam says of the family: This family represents a bacterial cis-regulatory element known as RtT RNA. The exact function of RtT is unknown although it is thought that it may be involved in changing the cellular response in relation to amino acid starvation. The record is from RNAcentral. Lineage: Bacteria; Pseudomonadati; Pseudomonadota; Gammaproteobacteria; Enterobacterales; Enterobacteriaceae.